AUGGACGACGUGCAGCGGAAGGAGGCGCUGCUCCUCGCGGUGGGGGUCCUGACGGGAGGCGCCGCGGAUUUCGCCAUCGCCAUGCCCAAGGAAGCCCUGCGCGCCGCAGCCAGGCACCUGGCCCAGCUUGCUCUAGAUAUAGCAGCUUGUGCAGAUGCCUCUGGCUUCGACACCUCCGACCUGCGCGCCGCCGCCAAGGCGCUGUUGCAGGCAGAGGCGGGCAGCAGGUCAGACGCCAUCAGCGACCUGGUACGAGAGUGCCUCAGGUUGGACGGGAUAGUGGCCAUGCGAGAUGCGGCUGCCGCGGACGACCUCCGGCGAGGCGUCCUGGACGUGGCACUGGCCGGGGGGACCCUGCUCCGUCUCCGCGUCCUCCCCGCGCGCGGGUUGGACUUCUUGCUCGCCGCCGCCGAGGGCGGCGCGGGGGGCGAGGUCCCCGAGGCUGAUGCGGACGCCCGCGCAGCGCAGGCGGAGCUCGCGAGGGAGAGGGAGGCGGAGCUCCGGAGGAAGAGGGAGGCCGAGCUCAAGAGGGAGGCCCAUGAGCCCACCACGGCGGCGACGACAUGGUGGCGGCGGCUCGCGUGUCGGUUCUCCAGCGCGAGGGCGACGGGAUCCUGGUGGCGGCUCGCCAGUUGGUUCCCCAAGGAGACGAGCGGCGUCAACGAGGAUGACCCCGAAGCUCCGCUGAUAGCACGCAGGCAGCCUGACCCCAGCCCCGGCCCCGGCCCCAGCCCCUCCCCCUCGGACUGCUCGCCGCCAUGGGGCAACUGGCUCACCAUCCAGACCUUCUCACUCGGCGGGUCCCUGUGCCUGCUCCCUUACAUGGGUCCGGCUGCGCUGCUGAGUGACGCUGCCCACUAUGAUAAUGAUUACAGAUGGUGGGUUCAGCUUGCUUUUCAGAUAUGGUGGUGCCUGGUUAUCGUGGGCGUGCCCUGCGCCUUGUGUUGCCGGUCAAGGAUCGAGCGAAUCUACGCCCGUAUUUCCGCCCACCUCGGAAUGCUGGGUAUGUAUAUUUUCCUCUCCUCUUCUUGUCUCACUGCCACAAAUGAAGAUUGUUUGUUUGGGAGUAAUGGUUUUGUUACUGUUAAAACUGGUAUUACUGUGAACGCCCUUUUCUUCUGUCAUUGGAUGCUGGCCGCCGUUGCCACGAAGCUGAUGAAGAUCUUUCUGGGUGGUGCCGUUGCCUAUUUCCUGUUCUAUUGGAUACGGUGUUGUUGGGUGGGAGAGAUCUGA
RNAcentral lists this ribosomal RNA (1233 nucleotides) under Triticum aestivum (bread wheat). RNAcentral describes it as "partial small subunit ribosomal RNA". Lineage: Eukaryota; Viridiplantae; Streptophyta; Magnoliopsida; Poales; Poaceae. The record is from RNAcentral.